AACGGCCGCAGUAUCCUGACUGUGCUAAGGUAGCAUAAUCAUUAGUUUUUUAAUUGAAAACUCGUAUGAAUGAUUCGACGAGAAAUUUCCUGUCUCUAAAGUACUUGAACUUACUCGGAAAGUCAAAAAGCUUUCCCUCCCCAAUAGGACGACAAGACCCUAUAAAACUUUACCUUGCUUAAAACCACACCCUUAGAAAAUUUUAAUUUUAAUAAAGGUUCUACUGGGGCGGUAUCUUUUAUUACUAACAAAAAUUAAUCUAACAUAGUGCAUGAAAUUAUCAAACACUCGGCGUAAAUAAUAACAAGUUACUUUAGGGAUAACAGCGCAAUAUCUUCUUAGAGCCCACAUCGGCGAAGAUGUUUACGACCUCGAUGUUGAAUUGAAGAACCUUCGCGGAGCAGCCCUCGCGUGAGGAAGUCUGUUCGACUUUUAAUCCUUCACAUGAUCUGAGUUCAA
Molecule: ribosomal RNA, 459 nt
Filed under: Zuzara digitata
Lineage: Eukaryota; Metazoa; Arthropoda; Malacostraca; Isopoda; Sphaeromatidae
Description: partial 16S ribosomal RNA
Rfam family: Bacterial large subunit ribosomal RNA
Source: RNAcentral